ACGAACGCUGGCGGCGUGCUUAACACAUGCAAGUCGAACGGAAAGGCCCUGCUUUUGUGGGGUGCUCGAGUGGCGAACGGGUGAGUAACACGUGAGUAACCUGCCCUUGACUUUGGGAUAACUUCAGGAAACUGGGGCUAAUACCGGAUAGGAGCUCCUGCUGCAUGGUGGGGGUUGGAAAGUUUCGGCGGUUGGGGAUGGACUCGCGGCCUAUCAGCUUGUUGGUGGGGUAGUGGCUUACCAAGGCUUUGACGGGUAGCCGGCCUGAGAGGGUGACCGGCCACAUUGGGACUGAGAUACGGCCCAGACUCCUACGGGAGGCAGCAGUGGGGAAUAUUGCACAAUGGGCGGAAGCCUGAUGCAGCAACGCCGCGUGCGGGAUGACGGCCUUCGGGUUGUCAACCGCUUUCGCCUGUGACGAAGCGUGAGUGACGGUAAUGGGUAAAGAAGCACCGGCUAACUACGUG
Molecule: ribosomal RNA, 467 nt
Filed under: uncultured bacterium
Lineage: Bacteria
Description: partial 16S ribosomal RNA
Rfam family: Bacterial small subunit ribosomal RNA
Source: RNAcentral